GGCUUUGGGGCUGAGUCUUCGGACAAGGCCCUUGAGCCUAGCGGCAAACGGGUGAGUAACACGUGAGCAACCUGCCCCGCUGACCGGGAUAACAAGCCGAAAGGCCUGCUAAUACCGGAUAAGAAGCCCUGGCGCAUGUCGGGGCUUGGAAAUGGAGCAAUUCGCAGCGGGAGGGGCUCGCGCCCUAUCAGCUAGUUGGUGAGGUAACGUCCCUCCAAGGCGACGGCAAGUAGCCGACCUGAGAGGGUGACCGGCCACACUGGAAUUUAGUCAUUGUCCAGACGACUACGGGAGGCAUCAGCUCCAUCUUGUGAUUAACUCAUCCAUCCCGGAGAUUCUGCG
RNAcentral lists this small RNA (342 nucleotides) under uncultured bacterium. Its description in RNAcentral is "bacterial SSU rRNA". The stretch from base 1 to 302 matches the Rfam family "Bacterial small subunit ribosomal RNA", at positions 65 to 355 of the family's 1533-position model. The record is from RNAcentral.